GAUGAACGCUGGCGGCGUGCCUAAUACAUGCAAGUCGAGCGAACAGAUAAGGAGCUUGCUCCUUUUACGUUAGCGGCGGACGGGUGAGUAACACGUGGGUAACCUACCUAUAAGACUGGAAUAACUCCGGGAAACCGGGGCUAAUGCCGGAUAACAUUUAGAACCGCAUGGUUCUAAAGUGAAAGAUGGUUUUGCUAUCACUUAUAGAUGGACCCGCGCCGUAUUAGCUAGUUGGUAAGGUAACGGCUUACCAAGGCAACGAUACGUAGCCGACCUGAGAGGGUGAUCGGCCACACUGGAACUGAGACACGGUCCAGACUCCUACGGGAGGCAGCAGUAGGGAAUCUUCCGCAAUGGGCGAAAGCCUGACGGAGCAACGCCGCGUGAGUGAUGAAGGUCUUCGGAUCGUAAAACUCUGUUAUUAGGGAAGAACAAAUGUGUAAGUAACUGUGCACGUCUUGACGGUACCUAAUCAGAAAGCCACGGCUAACUACGUG
This 497-nucleotide ribosomal RNA is filed under the name uncultured bacterium. RNAcentral's name for it is "partial 16S ribosomal RNA". It matches the Rfam family "Bacterial small subunit ribosomal RNA", at positions 28 to 507 of the family's 1533-position model. The record is from RNAcentral.